This is a transfer RNA of Anolis carolinensis (green anole), 73 nucleotides long. It matches the Rfam family "tRNA". Rfam says of the family: Transfer RNA (tRNA) molecules are approximately 80 nucleotides in length. NCBI's taxonomy places the organism in Eukaryota, Metazoa, Chordata, Lepidosauria, Squamata, Anolidae. The record is from Rfam.
ACCUGGCUAACUCAGUUGGUAGAGUAUGGGACUAUUAAUCCCAGCGUCAUGGGUUCGAGCCCCACAUUGGGUG